Molecule: ribosomal RNA, 465 nt
Filed under: Vreelandella stevensii
Lineage: Bacteria; Pseudomonadati; Pseudomonadota; Gammaproteobacteria; Oceanospirillales; Halomonadaceae
Description: partial 16S ribosomal RNA
Rfam family: Bacterial small subunit ribosomal RNA
Source: RNAcentral
CCUACGGGGGGCAGCAGUGGGGAAUAUUGGACAAUGGGGGCAACCCUGAUCCAGCCAUGCCGCGUGUGUGAAGAAGGCCCUCGGGUUGUAAAGCACUUUCAGUGAGGAAGAACGCCUGGUGGUUAAUACCCAUCAGGAAAGACAUCACUCACAGAAGAAGCACCGGCUAACUCCGUGCCAGCAGCCGCGGUAAUACGGAGGGUGCGAGCGUUAAUCGGAAUUACUGGGCGUAAAGCGCGCGUAGGUGGCUUGAUAAGCCGGUUGUGAAAGCCCCGGGCUCAACCUGGGAACGGCAUCCGGAACUGUCAAGCUAGAGUGCAGGAGAGGAAGGUAGAAUUCCCGGUGUAGCGGUGAAAUGCGUAGAGAUCGGGAGGAAUACCAGUGGCGAAGGCGGCCUUCUGGACUGACACUGACACUGAGGUGCGAAAGCGUGGGUAGCAAACAGGAUUAGAUACCCGAGUAGGC